RNAcentral lists this ribosomal RNA (253 nucleotides) under uncultured bacterium. RNAcentral's name for it is "partial 16S ribosomal RNA". It matches the Rfam family "Bacterial small subunit ribosomal RNA", at positions 524 to 776 of the family's 1533-position model. The record is from RNAcentral.
UACAUGGGGUGCAAACGUUGCUCGGAAUUAUUGGGCGUAAAGAGCUCGUAGGCGGUUUGUCGCGUCUGCUGUGAAAACGCGAGGCUCAACCUCGCGCCUGCAGUGGGUACGGGCAGACUAGAGUGCGGUAGGGGAGAUUGGAAUUCCUGGUGUAGCGGUGGAAUGCGCAGAUAUCAGGAGGAACACCGAUGGCGAAGGCAGAUCUCUGGGCCGUAACUGACGCUGAGGAGCGAAAGCGUGGGGAGCGAACAGG